AUUGAACGCUGGGGCAUGCCUUACACAUGCAAGUCGAACGGUAACAGGUCUUCGGAUGCUGACGAGUGGCGAACGGGUGAGUAAUACAUCGGAACGUGCCUAGUAGUGGGGGAUAACUACUCGAAAGAGUGGCUAAUACCGCAUGAGAUCUACGGAUGAAAGCAGGGGAUCGCAAGACCUUGUGCUACUAGAGCGGCCGGUGGCAGAUUAGGUAGUUGGUGGGAUAAAAGCUUACCAAGCCGACGAUCUGUAGCUGGUCUGAGAGGACGAUCAGCCACACUGGGACUGAGACACGGCCCAGAAUCCUACGGGAGGCAGCAGUGGGGAAUUUUGGACAAUGGGCGCAAGCCUGAUCCAGCAAUGCCGCGUGCAGGAUGAAGGCCUUCAGGUUGUAAACCGCUUUUGUACGGAACGAAAAGCCCCGGGUUAAUACCCUGGGGUCAUGACGGUACCGUAAGAAUAAGCACCGGCUAACUACGUGCCAGCCGCCGCCGUAA
Molecule: ribosomal RNA, 497 nt
Filed under: uncultured bacterium
Lineage: Bacteria
Description: partial 16S ribosomal RNA
Rfam family: Bacterial small subunit ribosomal RNA
Source: RNAcentral